RNAcentral lists this long non-coding RNA (1174 nucleotides) under Equus asinus (donkey). RNAcentral's name for it is "lncRNA (ENSEASG00005036479.1)". The record is from RNAcentral. Lineage: Eukaryota; Metazoa; Chordata; Mammalia; Perissodactyla; Equidae.
AACGGUGACAGCCUGACACCCGCUUUGCUCUAGUACAACGCAGACAAUGCUAAACCAGCACACACAGGCCUGCCACCAGGGUGUCAUUGUCACCAUGGGUGGGGGCACAUGGAAGUACAAGAGGACCAUCCUGCUACUGGGGCUAUAUCUAGACAGUUUAGCCUUCACUCACUUUUCUGCACAGCAUCCUGAGGUAAACCAAUUUUAAAUGCGUUUGUUUUCAGUAAACCUGCUAUGACGAUUUAUACUAACAAACUGAACUAGAACCCAUUUGAAUAGGUUUUCAAUUUGUUUUAUCGUUUUUCGUUUUUAAUACAAAUGCCUGACUGUGCUCAAUUGUCAAGCUGCAUGCAUGAAAAACUGGCCAGCCCAAACAGUGUAUUACUCAUUAGCAAAUGGAACUGCAAGGAGUCCACCAAGUGCUUCCUUAUCGUUAAGGUAGUACAAGUAUUUAUAUCAUAAAACGGAUGUGUAGCUUGAUCUUUAGGGGACAGGACCACCAACCAAUACAUGCAGCUUUUUUGUGUGUGUGGACAGAAGGUACUUCUGACAUUCAGUUUUGCUAUAUAGAAACAGAAUGAGUAAAUGAACUUUUUUUCUUUUUUGCAAGAGGUAAGUAAAAGAUUCAAUUUGAUUCUUCUAGAGGGGGGGAAAAGGAGUUGAAAGUAGGUCUUCAUUUUGCAGUCAUCAUCUGUACGAAUUCUUCAUAGUUGACUUGUCCGUCUCCGUCAAUAUCUGCUUCUCUGAUCAUUUCAUCUACUUCUUCAUCUGUUAGUUUUUCUCCUAAGUUUGUCAUGACGUGACGUAGUUCUGCCGCACUGAUGUAACCGUUGCCAUCCUUGUCAAAGACUCGGAAUGCCUCACGGAUUUCUUCUUCGCUGUCUGUAUCUUUCAUUUUUCUAGCCAUCAUAGUCAAAAAUUCUGGGAAGUCAAUGGUGCCAUUACCGUCAGCGUCCACUUCGUUGAUCAUGUCCUGCAGCUCGGCUCCUGUUGGGUUCUGACCCAGUGACCUCAUGACAGUUCCAAGUUACUUUGUUGUGACGGUGCCAUCGCCAUCAUUGUCAAAUAGGGAGAAAGCUUCCUUGAAUUCAGCGAUCUGUUCUGUCAGCUGAUCAGCCAUGUGCGAGCGAAGGGAGGAAGAGCACAGAGAUCAAGGGUGGCUGCACCAGCGCAG